UACGGAGGGCGCAAGCGUUGUUCGGAAUCACUGGGCGUAAAGCGCGUGUAGGCGGCUUGGCAAGUCGGAUGUGAAAUCCCGAGGCUCAACCUCGGAACUGCACUAGAAACUGCCUGACUCGAGUCCCGGAGAGGGUGGCGGAAUUCCCGGUGUAGGGGUGAAAUCCGUAGGGAUCGGGAGGAACACCAGUGGCGAAGGCGGCCACCUGGACGGUGACUGACUCUGAGACGUGAAAGCGUGGGGAGCAAACAGU
This 253-nucleotide ribosomal RNA is filed under the name uncultured bacterium. RNAcentral's name for it is "partial 16S ribosomal RNA". It matches the Rfam family "Bacterial small subunit ribosomal RNA", at positions 524 to 776 of the family's 1533-position model. The record is from RNAcentral.